CGGGUCGCAGCAGUGGGGAAUAUUGGACAAUGGGCGAAAGCCUGAUCCAGCCAUGCCGCGUGUGUGAAGAAGGUCUUCGGAUUGUAAAGCACUUUAAGUUGGGAGGAAGGGCAGUAAAUUAAUACUUUGCUGUUUUGACGUUACCGACAGAAUAAGCACCGGCUAACUCUGUGCCAGCAGCCGCGGUAAUACAGAGGGUGCAAGCGUUAAUCGGAAUUACUGGGCGUAAAGCGCGCGUAGGUGGUUUGUUAAGUUGGAUGUGAAAUCCCCGGGCUCAACCUGGGAACUGCAUUCAAAACUGACUGACUAGAGUAUGGUAGAGGGUGGUGGAAUUUCCUGUGUAGCGGUGAAAUGCGUAGAUAUAGGAAGGAACACCAGUGGCGAAGGCGACCACCUGGACUAAUACUGACACUGAGGUGCGAAAGCGUGGGGAGCAAACAGGAUUAGAUACCCCCGU
RNAcentral lists this ribosomal RNA (457 nucleotides) under uncultured Pseudomonas sp. Its description in RNAcentral is "bacterial SSU rRNA". It matches the Rfam family "Bacterial small subunit ribosomal RNA", at positions 342 to 791 of the family's 1533-position model. Lineage: Bacteria; Pseudomonadati; Pseudomonadota; Gammaproteobacteria; Pseudomonadales; Pseudomonadaceae. The record is from RNAcentral.